RNAcentral lists this long non-coding RNA (383 nucleotides) under Hordeum vulgare. RNAcentral describes it as "long non-coding RNA (HVUL_LNC019600)". Lineage: Eukaryota; Viridiplantae; Streptophyta; Magnoliopsida; Poales; Poaceae. The record is from RNAcentral.
AUUCUUGAGAUGCUUUGUUAGUAAAAAGAAAAUGUUACAUCAGGAAACAUGUACCAUGGAAUAGGAAUCAAAAGCAAGGUAUUAUCACAACAUCUUAGUUUUUUAUUCAAGUGCACAACCAUAUAUUUUGAGGUAAAGCUAUUAGUUCUUGCCAAAUCGUCAAUUCAAUUUUGAAUGGUUCUAACUAUUAUACUUCAUGUUGUAGGCGGUUGUGGCUGUGACUACCUCGCUUGCGCUAGAAAGGUUAGCUUCUUUAAUAUGCUUUAGCUCAGAGCUGUCAUGUUUCUGCUUGUUUUUGUCCUUAGUUUUUGUGUUUUUAUUCUUGAUUCGGGGUUUAGAAUGCAGGGGGUUUGCUGACUCCAUAUUUGGGAUGUCGGUGGUNN